Molecule: long non-coding RNA, 876 nt
Organism: Magnolia sinica
Lineage: Eukaryota; Viridiplantae; Streptophyta; Magnoliopsida; Magnoliales; Magnoliaceae
Exons: 2
Source: RefSeq, a predicted model, not a curated record
UGAGAGGGAGAGAAAGAGCAUACCCCUUAAAAAUUGGGUAAGAUUUGUGCCGUGAGCCUUUGACUCUCAACACAUUUCUAAGGAACUCAGUGGUAGUUGUUUCCUUGUUGAAAUCUGUGUUCCACCAAUUUAAACUUCAUGUGCAACGUCUCUUCCGGAAUGUAGAUUUAAUAAAGCACACUCCGAUGCUGACGUAAAUCAUGUUGGAUCUGAGUUCCAAUGGCUAUUAGUUGAAAUUUACAGCAGAUUUUGAGGUGUCAGUUUUAAAAUUGAAAUAAAUAAAUGGGUGUUGUCUUUCCAUUCUUCAUCAUAGAAAUGGUUUACUCCAUGCUUCAGAUUUGAUUUUCAUAUGGCAUUUGGUGCGUGUUGCUUGCAGACGACUGCAUCAGAAAGUGGCAUUUUCGACCAUUUGAUAAAUGUAUGGGAAUUUAAUCCCGGACCCAUUCCAGGAACUUGUGACCUUUAUUUCUUGGUGGAUUUCAAGUUCCAGUCACUGCUUUACCGACAGGUGGCAUCCAUGUUCUUCAAAGAGGUGGUUUCUCGGCUCGUCACCUCAUUCAGCGAUCGCUGCCGUAUGAUUUAUGGGCCAGGCAUACAAGUCCUAGAAAAUUCUUACGGGGAGCAGAGGUCAUAACAACACUUCAGUCACACCCUGUAUACAAAGGCAGAUGCAAAUGCCCUCCACAGCUUGUUGGUUGGAGCACUUUCCGCAUCUGUUCAGUCAUAGAAACAAACUUAUUGUAUUUCACUCACGCCGCCCUCUUUUGCCUUCCAUUUUCCCUUGAGCUAUUGUCUGCUCUCAUUUAAGAAUAGAUUUAUGAAAUUUUUGAUGUGUAACCAUAAGAUAAAAUAACUUCUUAACGCAUUUGAUUACAA